UACGUAGGGGGCAAGCGUUGUCCGGAUUUAUUGGGCGUAAAGAGCGUGUAGGCGGUCCGGUAAGUCCGCUGUGAAAGUCGGGGGCUCAACCCUUGAAUGCCGGUUGAUACUGUCGGGCUAGAGUCCGGAAGAGGCGAGUGGAAUUCCCGGUGUAGCGGUGAAAUGCGCAGAUAUCGGGAGGAACACCAAUGGCGAAGGCAGCUCGCUGGGACGGUACUGACGCUGAGACGCGAAAGCGUGGGGAGCAAACAGG
RNAcentral lists this ribosomal RNA (253 nucleotides) under uncultured bacterium. RNAcentral describes it as "partial 16S ribosomal RNA". It matches the Rfam family "Bacterial small subunit ribosomal RNA", at positions 524 to 776 of the family's 1533-position model. The record is from RNAcentral.